AUCUGUAAAUGGAGAGACUUCAUUUCCUACAGCAGGAUGUUGACUGUGAAGACCGAACAAAAUAGGUGCACCUGUCUGCUUCGUAAAGCAGUUCGCACCGGUUAUAAUACCGUAGCAAGACCCGGCCCCUGCCCCUGCCCCUGCCCCGAGGAGCGCACCGGGUGACGCUGGUAUGUGCCCCCGCCCCCCGGGCCAGGAGAAGCUGAGUGGUGGCGGAGAGCUGUGAUGAGGGUCUGAGCCUGGCCAGAGGUGUGCGGCCCAAGCUUCCCCUGGGCUUCACAGCCGCUGGGGGGGUCCUGCGGGGCAGAUUGGAGGAGCGCGCAGGGUCGCGUGAUCGAGUCUGCAUGGGGGAAUGCACAAGUUGGGGCAAGAUCCCUGAUCUGAGCGACGCGAAGCACUGACGGUGAACAGGGCAGUCCGCGGCAGCUUGAGACUGACCUCACUUGAGCCUUGGACUGGCGUUCAGGUUGGGUGGAGAACUGUCCAGAAGGCAGCCAUCCUGGGCCCAGGACCUACACCAAGAAGCCUUCCAGGCCGUCUGGCAUCUGGACCAUCCACACCAAUCACCCCCAUUUCACUGUGGUCCCUCCUCACUUCUGAUCCUGAGUGCAGCUCCCCAGGAGACUGUGAGCCUAAAAGGCAGGGUGGGGUCACAGUCAUGUGAUGUCCCCAGCUUCACCCAGCCCAGCACUGGGCCCCAGGCAAGAGCUGAGAGCACGGAAGCUAGGUAUUCAAGGGAGGUGGGGAGUCUAGCAGCUUGGAAAGAGCCCAGCCUGCCCUCCGCAUCCCCUUUGGCUGGUCCUGGCAUCCCCAAACACCUCUUUUCUAUUGAAGGGCUCCCUCUAUCACCUUCAACUUCUGUCUUCACUCCCCACUGCACUCUGAUGUGCUGGGUCCCUGGACCCUGCCUUUCCCACCUGAGUCUCUGUCCAAUGGGUCCUUUCUGAAUUCCAUUGUCUUUUGCUCAGAUUCUUGCUUAACUACAUAAGAAAGAAGGUGCCAGGCUGACCCAGGUACAAAUCCCAGCUGCAGGUAUCCGUCAGGAGCCUUUGGGUCGCAAGAAACAGGAAACCAGCUUCAAGCUGGCUUUAGAGGAGAAUUUACUGGCUCAAGGAACAGAGGUGCAGGAAUGGCCCUGGCUUCAGGUCUGGAUAGAAAAAGGGGCUCGAAGGAGGGCACAAGGUCACGUCCUCUCCCAGCUGCCUCUACGGGGUCCUGCACACCCUCAGGCAGACUGGUUUUGCUGGGCCCACAACCCCGGGAGCCCCAGGCUUCCCUCCACCUACCAAGGCCUCUGGUAAGACACAGCUGGUCUCGUACUGCCAGUGCUCAACCAAGGGCCCUAAGGCCUAGGCCUGCCUGACCCAACCCCCUGCACAAUUGUAGCAAGGGCUCAGGGGGUGCCUGGCCCAGAUGUCAGGUCCCCACAGCCCUGGGGUUGUCUGCAGGGGGUGAGCGCCCCCAACGCCCACUCCCGAUGCUCCUCUCCCUGUAUCGUGUCAGCACCUAGGAGGUGCUCAGGAUCAGCACUGAUUAUCAAUAGCUUGUUGCUGCUGAGUCUAAACGGUAUCGUCCUCCAUCUGUCCUAUUGUGGGCCUGCCCAUCAGACACAUUUCUUCCCUCCCCCAAUAAGAUUCUGCUUCAUUUCACCAAUGUUCCUCGACGGGUCCUCAGUGCAGGCCAAGUGCUGGGUGGUGCUGGGACAGAUCCCAUCCCUGACCUGAGGAGGUCACAGCAGGGGAGGAAAGGGCAUCCUCGCCAGCCUGCCCCACACGAGUGGAGGGCUUCUCCGAGGAGAGACCUGGGUUCCGCCUUCCCCGGCCACUCUGUGUCUUGUUUGGAACCAGGAGAGGGGAGGGCAGAUGGAGUGUGAGCCUGCUGUGUCAUGGCAUCCGGCAGGAGGGGACAGCUCAGGAUUGGAGGGCAGGCUCGCCUUUAGAAUGUGUCUCUAUCUCCUGAGUAGGAACAGCACCCCUCUCGAAAUCCUAUUGUAAUUACCCAUUGACUCACUGCCCCACCCACACCCCAAGUUCAAGGAGAAGCCUGCCUCCUCCCCAUGACCCAGGCCUGACACAUGGGACAUGUGGAAAGGUGUCACCAGCAAGUCAAAGGAACUGAUUACCUAAUUUAUUUUAAUCUCAGAAAAUUUGUCUAAUCGAUUUGGAGGCCUCCACUGCCUCCACUGCAGGAGACCUGCCCCCUGCCUGAGUCCCUCCCUAAUGUCAGCUUACACUGAAGGAACCUGAGAAACAUUUAGGGGCCAGGAUCGCCCCUCACGGGCGCAUUCCAGUGAAAUCAGCAACUCCCUGAUUUAAGGGCCAGGUUAAGAAAAGGGGGAAACUGAGACUGAGGCAGCAUUUGUAAAACCGGCUCGGAUCGUGGUAAAGCCACGGGCCACAGUGCUGUGUGUUUGUUGCCACAACAGGGCAACCCUGGGCUCAAUCCACACGCCCCAGAAAGUGUGUCAACUCAGUGCCUGUGCACUCGUAUGAUUAAAGUCAUAGCUGGCAAAGGAAA
This is a long non-coding RNA of Herpailurus yagouaroundi (jaguarundi), 2517 nucleotides long. RefSeq lists it as uncharacterized. The transcript has 2 exons. Lineage: Eukaryota; Metazoa; Chordata; Mammalia; Carnivora; Felidae. The record is from RefSeq and is a predicted model, not a curated record.